Molecule: ribosomal RNA, 482 nt
Filed under: uncultured bacterium
Lineage: Bacteria
Description: bacterial SSU rRNA
Rfam family: Bacterial small subunit ribosomal RNA
Source: RNAcentral
UUGAACGCUGGCGGCAUGCUUUACACAUGCAAGUCGAACGGCAGCGGGGGCUUCGGCCUGCCGGCGAGUGGCGAACGGGUGAGUAAUGCAUCGGAACGUACCCAGUCGUGGGGGAUAACUACGCGAAAGCGUAGCUAAUACCGCAUACGUCCUGAGGGAGAAAGCGGGGGAUCUUCGGACCUCGCGCGAUUGGAGCGGCCGAUGUCGGAUUAGCUAGUAGGUGAGGUAAAGGCUCACCUAGGCGACGAUCCGUAGCGGGUCUGAGAGGAUGAUCCGCCACACUGGGACUGAGACACGGCCCAGACUCCUACGGGAGGCAGCAGUGGGGAAUUUUGGACAAUGGGCGCAAGCCUGAUCCAGCCAUGCCGCGUGAGUGAAGAAGGCCUUCGGGUUGUAAAGCUCUUUCAGACGGAAAGAAAUCGGGCGCGUGAAUAGCGUGCCUGGAUGACGGUACUGUCAGAAGAAGCACCGGCUAACUACGU